This is a long non-coding RNA of Girardinichthys multiradiatus, 834 nucleotides long. RefSeq lists it as uncharacterized. The transcript is spliced from 3 exons. The record is from RefSeq and is a predicted model, not a curated record. NCBI's taxonomy places the organism in Eukaryota, Metazoa, Chordata, Actinopteri, Cyprinodontiformes, Goodeidae.
CUGCAGGUUAAACCUUAUUCACAAGCAUCAGUUCUGUCAGAGAUUAGCCAGAACCUGGUUCAUAUUGCAGCUGUUGAGCUUCCCUCAGCCGGUUAGCUCUAUGCUAACUCCAGCUAACACACCAGGAAAGCUCACCUGUGAGUCUCGAGGCCACGUUUGCUGUGACGUCACAUGCAGAACUUAAAGAUUAAAGUCCGAACUCCAUGUUCUGUUCAUCAAGUAACAGACCUGACGGACCCAACAGGAACAGAACCACAGCAGGCCGCCCCGGGAAACCGUUGCUGCUCUUCUUCUGCUGAGGGUUUCCAGGGAACUGUGUUGCCAGUUUGUCUUCAGUUAUGGAACGGCGGGGGUCGCAGCGGCGUCUUCUGCAGCGUCAGUAUCGUGUGUGAGAUGUUGCGACAACAGCGCUGUGUUGAUGUCUUUCAUGCCGUGAAGACGCUCAGAAACAACAAACCAAACAUGGUGGACCUACUGGUAAAAUGAAUCACAUGUAUUUCUUGUUUCCCUGCUACUUUAAAUAGAAUCAGUUCUGAGUUCAGCUGAACUUCGGACUUCCAACAUGUGCAUCUGUAUUAAAGUACUUUUAUGUACAUGAAUACCUAACCUGAAUAGAAAGGAGCGUAAGCCUAAUUGGUCUAUAUGUUUAUUCUCUACUCAACUAAUGAAAAGAUCACUUGCCCUUUUUAAGUCAGUCUCUAGUAACACAUUUACACAGCUACACGUGUACUCAUAAGUACAUUAGAGUAAACAUGCAGGUACAAAUACAGCUCUAUGUCUCUCAUAUUUAUACUGAGUAAUUACUUCCUACAAGAAUAAACUAAGUAAACAUUU